UGAGGAAUAUUGCGCAAUGGGGGAAACCCUGACGCAGCAACGCCGCGUGAGUGAGGAAGGUUUUCGGACCGUAAAGCACUUUAAGCAGGAAAGAAGGGGGUUGUGUUAAUACCAUAACCUUUUGACGUUACCUGCAGAAUAAGCACCGGCUAACUCCGUGCCAGCAGCCGCGGUAAUACGGAGGGUGCGAGCGUUAAUCGGAAUUACUGGGCGUAAAGCGUAUGUAGGCGGUUUGAUCAGUCGGAUGUGAAAUCCCCGAGCUUAACUUGGGAAUGGCAUUCGAAACUAUCAAGCUAGAGUAGGCUAGAGGAAAGGGGAAUUCCGCGUGUAGCAGUGAAAUGCGUAGAUAUGCGGAGGAACACCAAUGGCGAAGGCACCUUUCUGGGGUCAUACUGACGCUGAGAUACGAAAGCGUGGGGAGCAAACA
RNAcentral lists this ribosomal RNA (427 nucleotides) under uncultured prokaryote. Its description in RNAcentral is "bacterial SSU rRNA". It matches the Rfam family "Bacterial small subunit ribosomal RNA", at positions 355 to 774 of the family's 1533-position model. The record is from RNAcentral.